UGCAGGGGAACAUACUAAAAAAUUCGAUGGCUCUUCAAUGCCUUGUGUAGUCAGGGUGCAACUUUUGUGACUGAAUGUGGAAUCGCCUCAUGUUUCUGAAGGAUGCUAGAAUGUACAGUAGAAGUGACGGCCAGUACUAUGAGGAUGUUAGUGGAUUUCAUGAAGGCAUCACUGGGAACUUUGGCAAGUGAGUCUAUGCUAUUAUGCCUAUAAUCUCGAGCAAGAGGCUGGACCGGUCAAAGUGUAGCAUGGGGAAUUUAGCCCCCAUCACACAAUAAUGUCGGCAUUCUCUGAGCAUAUAUUUGUGACCGUGAUCUUUCAUACAAAUGCUACAAUAUUAUUGUGCCUUUUAACUGUCGCUUUAGUCGGGCAAAGGAAGACUCACUGAAGAAAAAUCCGUCAAAGGUGAUAUUUUUCGGAACUGAAUCAUAUCGUCCGGGUGUUUGGAAAAACAAGAUUUUGUGCAAAUAUUGCAGAACCUGUUGGCGCAGGAAUAAAUUCCGCUAAACGUUUCUCAGCAAA
This is a non-coding RNA of Aegilops tauschii subsp. strangulata, 522 nucleotides long. Lineage: Eukaryota; Viridiplantae; Streptophyta; Magnoliopsida; Poales; Poaceae. The record is from RefSeq and is a predicted model, not a curated record.